Molecule: non-coding RNA, 93 nt
Filed under: Lactonifactor longoviformis
Lineage: Bacteria; Bacillati; Bacillota; Clostridia; Eubacteriales; Clostridiaceae
Also listed under: 1 other name
Description: c-di-GMP sequence
Rfam family: c-di-GMP-I riboswitch aptamer
About the family: GEMM was predicted in a large-scale screen for bacterial structured RNA regulatory elements.
Source: RNAcentral
GUACAUAUUUGGCACAGCUGUCGAAAGGCAGUGUCGCAAAGCUAUAGGGGUUUCUCUUUUCCGUAAGUGAAAGAAAGCCAGCCAGUUGUUUGA